This 69-nucleotide transfer RNA is filed under the name Deltaproteobacteria bacterium. Its description in RNAcentral is "tRNA-OTHER". It matches the Rfam family "tRNA". From Rfam's summary of the family: Transfer RNA (tRNA) molecules are approximately 80 nucleotides in length. Their secondary structure includes four short double-helical elements and three loops (D, anti-codon, and T loops). The record is from RNAcentral. RNAcentral also lists the same sequence under 1 other name. Lineage: Bacteria; Pseudomonadati; Myxococcota; Myxococcia.
GCGCCAGCGGUCUGCGGGGACUAGCGGUCUACGAACCGUGAGGCGUGGGUUCAACUCCCACCUGGCGCU